Molecule: long non-coding RNA, 573 nt
Filed under: Vitis vinifera (wine grape)
Lineage: Eukaryota; Viridiplantae; Streptophyta; Magnoliopsida; Vitales; Vitaceae
Description: long non-coding RNA (VVIN_LNC001470)
Source: RNAcentral
UCUCAUCAUAUCAAGAACAAGGGUACUACUAUGCUGGUCAAAUGACAUGGCCACGAAAUCUCUGCAAAAAUCCUGAAUCUCAAGGGUCUGUACCUCAUCAAAUGUGAAUCCCGUCAGAAAAAAAAUCAUCAUCACUAUGACUGAUCUGCAAUACUGGCUCAGAGGAUGAAAUCAUGUCUCUAGUAGACUGCACUGUAAUAACCCGUCCGUCAUGGAUAAACUUCACCUUCUGAUGAAGGGAAGAUGGAAUAGCUCCAGCCUGGUGAAUCCAAGGUCGGCCCAAAAGCAGGUUAAAGGAAGCAGGAAUCCUCAAAACCUGGAAUAAUAUAGAGAAUGUGGUCGGGCCGAUGAGCAAAUCUAUAGUCAAGGUGCCCAUGACCUCCCUCUGAGUGUUGUCAUAAGCCCUCACUAUCUGUGUGGAGGGACCAAAAUCUGAGGGUACAAAGCCAAGGGCUAUAGCAGUGGCUAAUGGGCAAACAUUCAGGGUAGAGCCAUUGUCCAACAAGACGGAUGGGACUCUGUGGCCUGAACAAACAACUGUAAUAUAGAGAGGGCGAGUAUGGUCAGAACCCU